Long non-coding RNA from Cyprinus carpio (common carp), 1236 nucleotides. RefSeq lists it as uncharacterized. Lineage: Eukaryota; Metazoa; Chordata; Actinopteri; Cypriniformes; Cyprinidae. The record is from RefSeq and is a predicted model, not a curated record.
GCUGCUGAGCUGUGUGCCGCGCGCUUUUUUUUUUUUUUCUUGCAGGAGACUUGUUGGCUUCGCUAACGGACGUAGUUUUGAACUCGUAUUAGCGCCAUUUAUAGCUGCUUGCACCAGCAUCUUCGGAAUUUGUAGACAUCCUGGCAACUUACAAUUAAUUCGAGGUGAGUUCAUGCAACUUCAAGUUAUCUCUGUUAUAAAAACCCACCAGCCCAGCUUUUAUAGAUCAUUUUAGGAGUUCGUUUUUUAUGAGUGAGGUUGUGAAUUUAGUUAGAGUUUAAACUAUUUGAAUUUUGUAUUGCCCUAAUUAGCAAACAAGUUAAGUGUUGCACUGAACUGUUAACAUUGAAAUUUAAACCGCACUGUCUGUUACAAACAUUACCUGACUUUAACUGUUAUUAUAGCAUUUUGUAGCUGUAAGGUUCUGCAAAAUUGAUGUCACAAGCUUAUGUGCUUGAUUACUUAUGUAAAGUCAUACUUUAAAAAUGAUGCUAUUGCAUUUCUUGUCAUUUAUUCAUUGAAUAUAUUUGCAAUAUAUUUGACUAGCAGCAAGUGUGUCGAGGUCAAAAUAUGUUCAAGACAAUAAAAAUGUCAGUGAAGGACAUCUGAGAUUUUGUUGCAGUGGUUUUCUGAUGCAUGUGUUUAAGGUUUAAGGGUGGUGACACAGCUAAGACCCGAGAGUCUCUUUCAAGACACUGAAUCUGAGCAGAAACCAUAAGGAUACUCAAAGGACCUGUGACUCUCAGGAAAUGCAUCAAAUGAGAGUGACAGGUGAAACCAUUUCAAGACAAUGGCAGGAAAAGCAUGCUAAAGAUUGAAUCAAACCUUGGCUGGAAAUAUUUGAAGGGAUCUAGCCAGUCCACAAUGAAAGCUUCGUUGCCCCCCUGUGAGUCUUCUGGCAGAAAUGAUGGCGCCUGUAUUCUUUGGUUUCCCUAAACAUCACAUCGUGUUUAUACGAGGCUCUUCAAUUAAGUCUGCACCCAAAGAUUCAAUAAGAGAGGGGAUCCUGCCAGUCCAAAGUGAACUCCUGAUGGACAUUGAAGUACUCCUGCAGAGCUUGUAUCUUCGACACCAUGCGCAUUAGAAACUCCACUGAGUGCUUUCCUUCACCAAGGCAGGACCCAGUGACUCAUUACUGUUGAUCGGUCAGGGGCAGGUCAUUUUUUGUUUCAUGUUUAUUAAUUUCUCCAUGGAUUACCAGCCAUAUAUAUGGAAACAUGCUGUAUUCUCAAGAUC